This 466-nucleotide long non-coding RNA is filed under the name Saimiri boliviensis boliviensis (Bolivian squirrel monkey). Its description in RNAcentral is "lncRNA (ENSSBOG00000036486.1)". Lineage: Eukaryota; Metazoa; Chordata; Mammalia; Primates; Cebidae. The record is from RNAcentral.
GUGGCAGGUGCUUGUAUUCUCAGCUACUUGGGAGGCUGAGGCAGGAGAAAUGCUUGAACCCAGGAGACAGAGAUUGUAGUGAGCUGAGAUUGCACCACUGCACUCCAGUCUGGUGACAGAGCAAGACUCUGUCUCAAACAAAAAGAAGAACUCGAACUGGAGCUUCCCGGAAGUGCCUGGUGGCUUAAAGCUGUCCCUAAGAUGUCUGCAAGUCUCCAGGCGAAGAAGGAAGUGCUGGUGGAGGAGGCUGUGGUUGUCUUUCAGACACGCUUUGAUGUCUUCUCUCUGAAGAUUCUUUCUGCUGGUCUGCUUUGGGCAUGGCUUGAUCCAGCUGUAAAACUUAGCCUCUUGCUUGAUUUCUAUGUACACUGGAAUCAUGGAAUUUCUGUAGCUGUUCCCACAUCAGGCGCACAGCGGCACUUAGAAGACAUCAGCUGGAUGGGUAAAUGAGUGAGUGAUAGUCCGA